RNAcentral lists this ribosomal RNA (301 nucleotides) under uncultured bacterium. RNAcentral's name for it is "partial 16S ribosomal RNA". It matches the Rfam family "Bacterial small subunit ribosomal RNA", at positions 509 to 808 of the family's 1533-position model. The record is from RNAcentral.
CAGUAGCCGCGGGAAUACGUAGGGUGCAAGCGUUAAUCGGAAUUACUGGGCGUAAAGCGCACGUAGGCGGCUUUGUAAGUAAGAGGUGAAAGCCUGGUGCUCAACACCAGAACUGCCUUUAGACUGCAUCGCUUGAAUCAUGGAGAGGUCAGUGGAAUUCCGAGUGUAGAGGUGAAAUUCGUAGAUAUUCGGAAGAACACCAGUGGCGAAGGCGGCUGACUGGACAUGUAUUGACGCUGAGGUGCGAAAGCGUGGGGAGCAAACAGGAUUAGAUACCCCCGUAGUCCCUGUCUCUUAUACC